This is a non-coding RNA of Xyrichtys novacula (pearly razorfish), 1237 nucleotides long. NCBI's taxonomy places the organism in Eukaryota, Metazoa, Chordata, Actinopteri, Labriformes, Labridae. The record is from the annotation of a GenBank genome assembly.
CUGCCAUUUUUGGUACACAAUACUGUAAACACGCACUGUCCUGCUGCUCUGGGAGGCACAGAAAAUCCUCAUCUUCUGACCGUAACUGUUUGGCGGAGACAUAAUUGAGCUCCGAGCUCAUGUGGGUGGCGUCGUGCGCCUGAGAGCAGACACAAAGCAGAAGUGCGAGUGUGAAGAUCCACGUUGGCAAACACGCUAUCCGUGUCUCUUCCACACAUCUACUGUAAGUACUUUUUCUUCCUCUCCACUGUAACUCCUCUCCGCUCACAAAUUAACAAGUCCUCCAGCAGCCUUAAGCCUGGAAACACCCGCUCGCUGAUCUUUCUCCUCGUCUUUUCAUCUCCCCCCAUCCUCCCUCAAAUCUCCCUCUGUCCUCUUUAGUCCCUCGUUCCCUCCCUACCUUCUCAUCAUCCUGCUUCUCCUAGCUUCCUCCUUACCCUACCCCCUUUCUUCCUCCCCUCUCUCCCUCUCUCUCUCCCUUUUCUCUCUCUAUCUCGCUCUCUUUGUAGGUAUUUCCCUUGCUGAUGUUGUCCAUUGAGAGCCAGUGAUUGUCUGUGGGUGAGAGCAGAGGAGAAGAGAGGAGCCGAUUACUGCAAUGCAGAGCAACCAAACAACAUCACGCUGCUGCAGCGCUCACUCUCUGUUUGCAUGUGUGCUUGUAUGUACAGUGUGUGUACAUAUUUAUAUGGUCUUUGUUUGUAUUUGUAUGAAGAAAAGUGUGCACACAGCAGGCAGAUACAGUGAUGCCAUCUGAGCGCGCGUGUGUGUCUGUCUGUCUGUGUGUGUGUUUGUGAGCGAUGACCAGCUCCACCACAAACUAUUUGUCAUGCCCAAACACCAAAGCUUCUGCAGCUAUGCACCAUGACUUUUAAAUAGAUCUCUUUUCACUGACAUCAAACUAUGCCCAACUGUGCAUUUUUAAUACCCGCAUGUUUAUGCAGAGAAGAAUAUGGUUUCAUGCCUCCACACACACACACACACACACUUGAGCUCACUCAGAAAGGAUCCGCCUAUCUCCGCUCAGGCUAAAUCUAUUAUGCAAAAUGACAGUGUUUUAAUCAGGCUAAUUGUCCAGCUCCUCGCUGUGUCUCUGCCAUCUCUACUUAACCGAUGCCACAGCCGCACUGUUUUCCUUUUUUUUUUUUUUAAAGGAAUAAAUGACACGGCGGUGGAGGAAGAGCGAGAGGCAAUCUAAGCCACAGAGGCCCAAAGGCGUUUGAAGUCUAAAGACUCUUUC